This 548-nucleotide ribosomal RNA is filed under the name uncultured bacterium. RNAcentral describes it as "partial 16S ribosomal RNA". It matches the Rfam family "Bacterial small subunit ribosomal RNA", at positions 355 to 893 of the family's 1533-position model. The record is from RNAcentral.
UGGGGAAUAUUGCACAAUGGGCGCAAGCCUGAUGCAGCCAUGCCGCGUGUGUGAAGAAGGCCUUCGGGUUGUAAAGCACUUUCAGCGAGGAGGAAGGUGGUGAGCUUAAUACGCUCAUCAAUUGACGUUACUCGCAGAAGAAGCACCGGCUAACUCCGUGCCAACAGCCGCGGUAAUACGGAGGGUGCAAGCGUUAAUCGGAAUUACUGGGCGUAAAGCGCACGCAGGCGGUUUGUUAAGUCAGAUGUGAAAUCCCCGGGCUCAACCUGGGAACUGCAUUUGAAACUGGCAAGCUAGAGUCUCGUAGAGGGGGGUAGAAUUCCAGGUGUAGCGGUGAAAUGCGUAGAGAUCUGGAGGAAUACCGGUGGCGAAGGCGGCCCCCUGGACGAAGACUGACGCUCAGGUGCGAAAGCGUGGGGCAGCAAACAGGAUUAGAUACCCUGGUAGUCCACGCUGUAAACGAUGUCGAUUUUGGAGGUUGUGCCCUUGAGGCGUGGCUUCCGGAGCUAACGCGUUAAAUCGACCGCCUGGGGAGUACGGCCGCAAGG